This 253-nucleotide ribosomal RNA is filed under the name uncultured bacterium. RNAcentral's name for it is "partial 16S ribosomal RNA". It matches the Rfam family "Bacterial small subunit ribosomal RNA", at positions 524 to 776 of the family's 1533-position model. The record is from RNAcentral.
UACAGAGGGUGCAAGCGUUGUUCGGAAUUAUUGGGCGUAAAGGGCGCGUAGGCGGUGCGGUAAGUCUGUAGUGAAAUCUCUGGGCUCAACUCAGAGUCUGCUGCAGAAACUGCCGUGCUUGAGUGUGGGAGAGGUGAGUGGAAUUCCCGGUGUAGCGGUGAAAUGCGUUGAUAUCAGGAGGAACACCCAUGGCGAAGGCAGUUCACUGGGCAUCAUCUGACGCUGAGGCGCGAAAGCGUGGGUAGCAAACAGG